CGGAAGUGCGUCACCUUCCUCUUCCGCCGCGGCUCCGGCGCCUGUAACACGAGUUAUCAUCUUUUCCCUCUUAACGUGAGGCGAAGUAAAGAUACUGGAUCGACUGGAAACACGUUGCUGACAAAAUGAAACCCAUCCUGCUCCAGGGCCAUGAGAGGUCCAUCACUCAAAUCAAGUACAACAGAGAAGGAGACCUGCUCUUCUCUGUAGCCAAAGACACGGUAGCCAACGUGUGGUACUCUGUCAAUGGAGAGAGGCUUGGCACCUACAAUGGACACACAGGAGCUGUGUGGUGUGUCGACUGUGACUGUAUCCUUUACUGAGAUGUAC
This is a non-coding RNA of Epinephelus lanceolatus (giant grouper), 330 nucleotides long. The record is from RefSeq and is a predicted model, not a curated record. Lineage: Eukaryota; Metazoa; Chordata; Actinopteri; Perciformes; Serranidae.